Molecule: ribosomal RNA, 253 nt
Filed under: uncultured bacterium
Lineage: Bacteria
Description: partial 16S ribosomal RNA
Rfam family: Bacterial small subunit ribosomal RNA
Source: RNAcentral
UACGUAGGGUGCGAGCGUUAAUCGGAAUUACUGGGCGUAAAGCGUGCGCAGGCGGUUUUGUAAGCCAGAUGUGAAAUCCCCGGGCUUAACCUGGGAACUGCAUUUGGGACUGCAAGGCUUGAGUGCGGCAGAGGAGACUGGAAUUCCUGGUGUAGCGGUGAAAUGCGCAGAUAUCAGGAGGAACACCUGCGGUGUAGACGGCUUUCUGGACCAUUGCUGACGCUGAGACACGAAAGCGUGGGUAGCAAACAGG